CCUACGGGAGGUAGCAGUGGGGAAUAUUGCACAAUGGGGGAAACUCUGAUGCAGCGACGCCGCGUGAGUGAAGACGUAUUUAGGUAUGUAAAGCUCUAUCAGCAGGGAAGUAAAUGACGGUACCUGAUUAAGAAGCUACGGCUAACUACGUGACAGCAGCCGCGGUAAUACGUAGGGGGCAAGCGUUAUCCGGAUUUACUGGGUGUAAAGGGAGCGUAGGCGGAAGGACAAGUCUGGAGUGAAAUGCCGCGGCUUAACCCUGGAACUGCAGUGGAAACUGGGAAACUAGAGUGCAGGAGAGGUAAGUGGAAUUCCUGGUGUAGCGGUGAAAUGCGUAGAUAUUAGGAAGAACACCAGUGGCGAAGGCAGUUUACUGGACUGUAACUGACGUUGAGGCUCGAAAGCGUGGGGAGCAAACAGGAUUAGAUACCCGUGUAGUC
RNAcentral lists this ribosomal RNA (440 nucleotides) under uncultured bacterium. RNAcentral describes it as "partial 16S ribosomal RNA". It matches the Rfam family "Bacterial small subunit ribosomal RNA", at positions 338 to 795 of the family's 1533-position model. The record is from RNAcentral.